RNAcentral lists this ribosomal RNA (301 nucleotides) under uncultured bacterium. Its description in RNAcentral is "partial 16S ribosomal RNA". It matches the Rfam family "Bacterial small subunit ribosomal RNA", at positions 509 to 807 of the family's 1533-position model. The record is from RNAcentral.
CAGCCGCCGCGGGAAAACGAAGGGGGCUAGCGUUGUUCGGAUUUACUGGGCGUAAAGCGUGCGCAGGCGGUCCGCUAAGACAGAUGUGAAAUCCCCGGGCUUAACCUGGGAACUGCAUUUGUGACUGGCGGGCUAGAGUAUGGCAGAGGGGGGUAGAAUUCCACGUGUAGCAGUGAAAUGCGUAGAGAUGUGGAGGAAUACCGAUGGCGAAGGCAGCCCCCUGGGCCAAUACUGACGCUCAUGCACGAAAGCGUGGGGAGCAAACAGGAUUAGAUACCCGAGUAGUCCCUGUCUCUUAUAC